Molecule: ribosomal RNA, 623 nt
Filed under: uncultured archaeon
Lineage: Archaea
Description: bacterial SSU rRNA
Rfam family: Archaeal small subunit ribosomal RNA
Source: RNAcentral
GAAGGUAAGACUCGAUAGACGAUAGUUGCUGGAAUGCGCAAUCGUCCAAAGUUAGGAUUGGGCUGCGGCUGAUUAGGUUGUUGGCGGGGUAAUGGCCCACCAAGCCGAUAAUCAGUAAGGGCUCUUAGCGGAGAAGCCCUGAGAGGGAAUCUGAGACACUAUUCCCAGCCCUACGGGGUGCAGCAGUCGGGAAAAUUCUGCAAUGCGCGCAAGCGUGACAGAGCAAGCCAGAGUGGUUUCAUAUAAUUUGAAACCUUUUGUGAGAUGUAAAAAGUCUUUCGAAUAAGGACUGGGUAAGACUGGUGCCAGCCGCCGCGGUAAUACCAGCGGUCCAAGUAGCAGCCACGUUUAUUGGGUCUAAAACAUCCGUAGCUCGCUUCGUCAGUCUCUUGUAAAAUCUGGCCUCUCAAGGGUCAGGCGGGCAAGAGAUACUGCGAAGCUAGGGACCGGGAGACGUGAAGAGUACGCAUCGGGUAGCGGUUAAAUGCGUUGAUCCAAUGUGGACUAACGAUAGCGAAGGCACUUCACGAGAACGGAUCCGACAGUGAGGGAUGAAGGCUAGGGGCGCAAAACGGAUUAGAUACCCGUGUAGUCCUAGCAGUAAACCCUGCACACUAAACAUC